AAUAUUGGACAAUGGGGGCAACAUUGAUCCAGUCAUGCCGCGUGUGUGAAGAAGGUCUUCGGAUAGUAAAGCACUUUACGUUGGGAGGAAAGGCUUUAGGCUAAUCGACUGACGAUUUGACGUUACCAACAGAAUAAGCAUCGGCUAACUCUGUGCCUGCAGCCGCGGUAAUACAGAGGGUGCAAGCGUUAAUCGGAAUUACUGGGAGUAAAGCGCGCGUAGUUUGUUCAGUAAGAUGUGUGUGAAAUCCCCGGGCUUAACCUGGGAACUGCUUUCAUAACUGCUGAGCUAGAGUACGGUAGAGGGUAGUGGAAGUUCCUGUGUAGCGGUGAAAUGCGUAGAUAUAGGAAGGAACGCCAGUGGCGAAGGCGACUACCUGGACUGAUACUGACACUGAGGUGCGAAAGCGUGGAGAGCAAACA
RNAcentral lists this ribosomal RNA (422 nucleotides) under uncultured bacterium. RNAcentral's name for it is "partial 16S ribosomal RNA". It matches the Rfam family "Bacterial small subunit ribosomal RNA", at positions 360 to 774 of the family's 1533-position model. The record is from RNAcentral.